CCUACGGGAGGCAGCAGUGGGGGAUAUUGCACAAUGGGGGAAACCCUGAUGCAGCGACGCCGCGUGUGGGAAGACGGUCCUCUGGAUUGUAAACCACUGUCCCCAGGGACGAAGAUGACGGUACCUUGGGAGGAAGCUCCGGCUAACUACGUGCCAGCAGCCGCGGUAAUACGUAGGGAGCGAGCGUUGUCCGGAAUUACUGGGUGUAAAGGGAGCGUAGGCGGGACUGCAAGUUGGGUGUCAAAUCUACCGGCUCAACCGGUAGCCGCACUCAAAACUGCAGUUCUUGAGUGAAGUAGAGGCAGGCGGAAUUCCUAGUGUAGCGGUGAAAUGCGUAGAUAGUAGGAGGAACACCAGUGGCGAAGGCGACCUGCUGGGCUUUUACUGACGCUGAGGCUCGAAAGUGUGGGGAGCAAACAGGAUUAGAUACCCCUGUAGUC
Molecule: ribosomal RNA, 440 nt
Filed under: uncultured bacterium
Lineage: Bacteria
Description: partial 16S ribosomal RNA
Rfam family: Bacterial small subunit ribosomal RNA
Source: RNAcentral